This 301-nucleotide ribosomal RNA is filed under the name uncultured bacterium. RNAcentral's name for it is "partial 16S ribosomal RNA". It matches the Rfam family "Bacterial small subunit ribosomal RNA", at positions 509 to 807 of the family's 1533-position model. The record is from RNAcentral.
CAGCCGCCGCGGUAAUACGAAGGGGGCUAGCGUUGCUCGGAAUCACUGGGCGUAAAGCGCACGUAGGCGGACUUUUAAGUCAGGGGUGAAAUCCCAAGGCUCAACCUUGGAACUGCCUUUGAUACUGGAAGUCCUGAGUUCGGGAGAGGUGAGUGGAACUGCGAGUGUAGAGGUGAAAUUCGUAGAUAUUCGCAAGAACACCAGUGGCGAAGGCGGCUCACUGGCCCGAUACUGACGCUGAGGUGCGAAAGCGUGGGGAGCAAACAGGAUUAGAGACCCCCGUAGUCCCUGUCUCUUAUAC